GACGGAUCGCGGAAGGUUGUCCAGCUGUUGGAAUAGCUGGUUUCUGGUUCAUAGAAGGCGCUUAGGCAAAUCCGGGCGCGGAAUUCAAGGGACUGGGACGGGCACCCAUGUGGUGCGAAGCAAUCGGAAGUGGUUCCAAGAAAAGCCUCUAAGCUUCAGUCAUACGAGACCGUACCGCAAACCGACACAGGUGGGCGAGAUGAGUAUUCUAAGGCGCUUGAGAGAACUCGGGAGAAGGAACUCGGCAAAUUGACACCGUAACUUCGGGAUAAGGUGUGCCCUAGUAGCGUGUAGAGAACAUCGAAGCGUGAAUGGGUUGCAAAAAAUAGGUGGCUGCGACUGUUUACUAAAAACACAGCACUCUGCAAACACGAAAGUGGA
Molecule: ribosomal RNA, 381 nt
Filed under: Aurantiochytrium limacinum
Lineage: Eukaryota; Bigyra; Thraustochytrida; Thraustochytriidae
Description: partial Bacterial large subunit ribosomal RNA
Rfam family: Bacterial large subunit ribosomal RNA
Source: RNAcentral